This 87-nucleotide transfer RNA is filed under the name Candidatus Eiseniibacteriota bacterium. Its description in RNAcentral is "Candidatus Eisenbacteria bacterium tRNA-Leu". It matches the Rfam family "tRNA". From Rfam's summary of the family: Transfer RNA (tRNA) molecules are approximately 80 nucleotides in length. Their secondary structure includes four short double-helical elements and three loops (D, anti-codon, and T loops). RNAcentral also lists the same sequence under 1 other name. The record is from RNAcentral. Lineage: Bacteria; Candidatus Eiseniibacteriota.
GCGGAAGUGGCGGAACUGGCAGACGCACUAGAUUCAGGUUCUAGCGCUCGAAAGGGUGUGGGGGUUCAAAUCCCCCCUUCCGCACCA